Olea europaea var. sylvestris is the source of this 469-nucleotide long non-coding RNA. RefSeq lists it as uncharacterized. NCBI's taxonomy places the organism in Eukaryota, Viridiplantae, Streptophyta, Magnoliopsida, Lamiales, Oleaceae. The transcript has 3 exons. The record is from RefSeq and is a predicted model, not a curated record.
UAAUUUUGAUAUUAGAUUCUUAACUAUGUUUGAAUAAUUCACAUCAAUGUGAAGGUAAUGCUAGAUAUGAGAAGGCCAAGUUUAAAGUUAUUGAUUUGGAUGAUUAUGCUGCUGAUGAUGAAGAAUAUGAGGAGAAGUUGAAGACGGAGACUUUGACAUUCUUCUUCCUCGCUACAUAGAUAUGGUGAUGGUGAGCCUACUGACAAUGGAGCAAGGUUUUACAAAUGGUUUACAGAGGUGAAGUAUUAAAAUAGAUGGUUAGUUACUUGGGUUUUUCACAUCGGGUAAAAAUUGGAGUCAAUUUCUGAGUAUGUGUGGUGCUGGGGUAUUUUACUCUGAGAUUGGAAUCCAUGUCCGUAGGCACAUGUAUCUCUUUGAAGAGUGUGUGCGUUUCAGUGUGUGUAGGAGUGAAGGGAGAUUGAUUGUGUAGAUCUGAAAAUGAAUGUUGGGGAAAUUUGAAAUUGAAAUU